RNAcentral lists this transfer RNA (71 nucleotides) under Facciolella oxyrhyncha (Facciola's sorcerer). Its description in RNAcentral is "tRNA-Tyr". It matches the Rfam family "tRNA". Rfam says of the family: Transfer RNA (tRNA) molecules are approximately 80 nucleotides in length. The record is from RNAcentral. Lineage: Eukaryota; Metazoa; Chordata; Actinopteri; Anguilliformes; Nettastomatidae.
GGUAAGAUGGCUGAAUGUCUAAGCGGCGGGCUGUAGUCUCGCAAACAGAGGUUUAAUCCCUCUUCUUAUCA